AUUGAACGCUGGCGGCAGGCCUAACACAUGCAAGUCGAACGACUGGCGGACGGGUGAGUAAUGUCUGGGAAACUGCCUUAUGGAGGGGGAUAACUACUGGAAACGGUAGCUAAUACCUCAUACCCUCGGCUUUGCCCAGAUGGGAUUAUCUAGUAGGUGGGGUAAAGGCUCACCUAGGCGACGAUCCCUACCUGGUCUGAGAGGAGGACCACACAGACUGGAACUGGGACACGGUCCAGACUCCUACGGGAGGCAGCAGUGGGGAAUAUUGCACAAUGGGCGCAGGCCGGAUGCAGCCAUGCCGCGUGUAUGAAGAAGGCCUUCGGGUUGUAAAGUACUUUCAGAGGGGAGGCGUUACCCGCAGAAGAAGCACCGGCUAACUCCGUGCCAGCAGCCGCGGUAAUUC
This 406-nucleotide ribosomal RNA is filed under the name uncultured bacterium. Its description in RNAcentral is "partial 16S ribosomal RNA". It matches the Rfam family "Bacterial small subunit ribosomal RNA", at positions 30 to 526 of the family's 1533-position model. The record is from RNAcentral.